GACGAACGCUGGCGGCGUGCUUAACACAUGCAAGUCGAACGGAAAGGCCCUGCUUUUGUGGGGUGCUCGAGUGGCGAACGGGUGAGUAACACGUGAGUAACCUGCCCUUGACUUUGGGAUAACUUCAGGAAACUGGGGCUAAUACCGGAUAGGAGCUCCUGCUGCAUGGUGGGGGUUGGAAAGUUUCGGCGGUUGGGGAUGGACUCGCGGCUUAUCAGCUUGUUGGUGGGGUAGUGGCUUACCAAGGCUUGACGGGUAGCCGGCCUGAGAGGGUGACCGGCCACAUUGGGACUGAGAUACGGCCCAGACUCCUACGGGAGGCAGCAGUGGGGAAUAUUGCACAAUGGGCGGAAGCCUGAUGCAGCAACGCCGCGUGCGGGAUGACGGCCUUCGGGUUGUAAACCGCUUUCGCCUGUGACGAAGCGUGAGUGACGGUAAUGGGUAAAGAAGCACCGGCUAACCACGUG
Molecule: ribosomal RNA, 467 nt
Filed under: uncultured bacterium
Lineage: Bacteria
Description: partial 16S ribosomal RNA
Rfam family: Bacterial small subunit ribosomal RNA
Source: RNAcentral